This 325-nucleotide ribosomal RNA is filed under the name uncultured eukaryote. RNAcentral describes it as "partial 18S ribosomal RNA". It matches the Rfam family "Eukaryotic small subunit ribosomal RNA", at positions 1470 to 1796 of the family's 1831-position model. The record is from RNAcentral.
CCCUUAGAUGUUCUGGGCUGCACGCGCGCUACACUGAUGCAUGCAACGAGUUUUCGACCUUGCCUGAAAAGGUUGGGUAAUCUGUUUAACAUGUGUCGUGAUGGGGAUAGACCAUUGCAAUUAUUGAUCUUCAACGAGGAAUUCCUAGUAAGCGCGAGUCAUCAGCUCGUGCUGAUUAUGUCCCUGCCCUUUGUACACACCGCCCGUCGCUCCUACCGAUCGAAGAGUUAGGUGAAUUGUUUUGAUCGAUAAGAUUUGACUAUGGUCAACUCUCGUUGUGAAAUUCUGUGAAUCUGACUGUUUAGAGGAAGGAAAAGUCGUAACA